GGGCCCAGGGUAAGGCAAAGGGUUUUGGUUCCGUUAUUUGGGGGUUUGAAUCCUUCCCUUCCAGA
RNAcentral lists this transfer RNA (65 nucleotides) under Anathallis petropolitana. RNAcentral's name for it is "partial tRNA-Gln". The record is from RNAcentral. Lineage: Eukaryota; Viridiplantae; Streptophyta; Magnoliopsida; Asparagales; Orchidaceae.